This is a long non-coding RNA of Capsicum annuum, 1065 nucleotides long. RefSeq lists it as uncharacterized. The record is from RefSeq and is a predicted model, not a curated record. The transcript is spliced from 3 exons. NCBI's taxonomy places the organism in Eukaryota, Viridiplantae, Streptophyta, Magnoliopsida, Solanales, Solanaceae.
UCACGAAUCCCAACUCAUCAAAAUAUGCAUGCUUUCAAAGCACAGUAUAGUCUCAAUCAGCCUCUCCCAUAGUGCAACCAUUGUAUAGUCACUAUCCCUUUUUUCUCAAAAACACCAUGAAAACCGGUCACCCCUUUCCUUUCUCCUCAUUCCUCCUCUCCUUCCACCCCAAAUGAGAAACCUUAAGAUCUCCAUAGCUGGUCAUCGUCUGCCACCUACCCACACGAAUCUUCCAUUUUUAUCACCCAAAGCCAGUAAAUCGCCAAGAAUAAGAGAAAAUCAGUCCCUAAUUUAUGCAAAAAUGAAACUUUCUUAGGAUUCACAGCUAAAGCUUGAUAAAAGCUGAAUUUUUUGCAGAUGGAUGUCAUAAUUUUGAAUUCAAAUCUAAUCUUCAUAAAAAUGUGCUUCAAAUCCGAACUUUGGAGUCUGGAUUUUGGCUAUAAAUAACCCCCAAAAUCGUCAUCAUAAAAAAACAAGUGGGAGAUUAAAGGAAAAUUGGACUAUAUUCAAAAAAGUUUCACUAGAAAAGUCACAAAAGGGGUUGUUGGUUUCUUCUCUUAAUUUCGGUGUUUGAUGGAGUCCUGAAAUUCGAGUUUUGGUGGCCGGAAUACUCGACAAGAAGCCCGAGUUUGCUGCACAAUACAAGAUUUCAAGGGAAUAGAAAUGUGAGGCAUAUGUAUUCAUCCGCUACCAUGUACAAGAGGCAAGUAUUUGUUAUGGAUGGAGCCAAACAUUCACAGCCCAGUGUGUUGAUUGGGACGUGUGUUAUGAUGCUUGCAAAAAAGAAGGAUUCAUAGAUGGAAAAUGCACUACUUUUGGGAUAAAACGAUGCUACUGCAGAAAGAUAUGUCCAUAAUCAACAUUUUCUUGCCUAAAUGUAUAUAUUUUAAAUUAAAAUAAGGUGUUUCAUGAUCAUACUGACGCAUCACUCUAUAAUAUUUUACUACUCGUAAUUUUAUCGUGAUUUCAAUUAUUACUAAAAAAUAUUUGAUGACCUAACGAUCGCGAGGGGGCCAUCUGACCUAGGUCAUGGAGCUGGCCUCCCCACCGUGCCAUCCCCCUUCC